RNA transcript from Oncorhynchus kisutch (coho salmon), 7345 nucleotides. It is a transcript of the gene named pleckstrin homology domain containing, family M (with RUN domain) member 2, with no coding region annotated. The transcript is spliced from 21 exons. The record is from RefSeq and is a predicted model, not a curated record. Lineage: Eukaryota; Metazoa; Chordata; Actinopteri; Salmoniformes; Salmonidae.
GGCUACCCUGCCGCCCCCAGGACAGGGCAGAACAUAUAUUACAAUUCAUUUUUUUGCGAAAAUAUAUCCGUUCCCACAUCUGUCUACAAUCAUUUUGUUGGUGUGUCACGAGCUCAUUGACAGGCGGUUAGUGACGUAGAACUUGGAAUGGCUAGCUGCUGAGCUUAUCAUUGUCAAGAACUUAUUCCUCCACUAGACUAAACAUUGGGCCUGACCUUGCUCAUGGUCUCGCAAUUUCACAAUGAUAAGUUUAUCUACAGUAAAAGUAAGUUUGAAGAAGUGUAUAUAUUAAAGGACAAUUCGGAUAUUAAAAUACUGGGUAGCUAGCUACACCGAAACUACGCAACCUAUGACAGCGGGAGAUUCAUUCUCUAGCGCUAAGGUAACGCGUUGGCUAGAUAGCUAGCAAGCUAACGUGUUAGCUAGUUUAGUUGAAUAGUCAUUCGAAGCGUUUCCGAGGCUAGUAUUGAGACCGUAGCUAGCUAACGUCAGCUAGGAAACUAGUCAACGUUAGUAGCUAGCACUGGCCACGGUCUUGUGUGCUAGUUUAACUACGGAAACGUUAAUACAGUAACGUUAUCGUUACCUAGCCAGCUGCUUGCUUGAUGGUUUAUGUUGUGUGCUAGCCAAUUACUGUACCAGCAUUAAAUAUAUAUGGCUAGUUAGCUUAGCUAUUAGUUGUCUAGCUUUGAGAACAUCAACAGACCACAUCGAGACUUCUGGGAAUCAGCUGACAGCUGCAGGCAGCCAAGGAGACCAGUGAUGGAUCAACUUAAAGUCAAGGACCGAAUAUUGGAAAACAUUAAUUUGUCUGUCAAGAAGUUGCAGAGUUACUUUGCUGCCUGUGAAGAUGAAACCCCAGCCAUUCGGAAUCACGACCGGGUCCUACAGCGGCUGUGUGAGCACCUCGACCAUGCACUGCUCUAUGGGCUGCAGGAUAUCUCCUCAGGUUAUUGGGUCCUGGUUCUACACUUCACCCGCAGGGAAGCGGUCCGGCAGAUAGACGAGCUCCAGCACAUAGCAACCAACCUUGGGCGAAGUCGUGCCUGGUUAUACCUAGCACUGAGUGAGAGCUCCUUAGAAAGCUACCUCCGUCUCUUCCAAGAGAACCAAGGAUUGCUGCAGAAGUAUUACUUCAAAAAUGCAUUGGUAUGCAGCCAUGAUCACCUCACGCUCUUUCUCACUUUGGUGUCGGGACUGGAGUUCAUUCGCUUUGAUCUGGAGUUGGAUGUCCCCUACUUGGACGUGGCUCCCUACAUGCCGGAGUACUACAAGCCCCAUAACCUUCUGGACUUUGAGGAGCGUCUCCCAAGCUCGGACAGCCUGUCCCUGCACUCUUUCACCUCCACCAACCUGGAAUGGGAUGACAGCGCCAUCGCCCCGUCCAGUGAAGAUUAUGAUUUCGGUGACAUCUUCCCCGUGUUGCAGCCAAGUGCAGACUGGGAAGAGGGUGACCUCACCGACCCAGUCAGCUGUCCUCGCUCAAAUGCCUCAGACCCUCAGACGGUCUUCAGUGAUUCUGUGAUUCUCCGGGCAGCCGCUGCCGUCAUCACAGUGAGGGGAACGCCACCGCCCCGCAGCCCCACCUUCAGACACAACCCCUUCAACGAGUACUCGGACACCAACACCUCGGCUGACAUUACACCCGUCCACACAGCCAGCUGCCACCACGACACCAGGGACGACAUGGAGUGCAUCAGCAACGAGCUAGAGGUUAUCAGGAUGGCCAGACGAAAGAAGCCAUCCAAGAAGCGCUGUAGCGUGAAAAGCUCCACAGUGAGCGGUGACCAGAACAAUGUGGCCUUCGAGCAGGCGGAGGCAGACGAUAGAGCCCCGGCUGGAUGUGAGGGACCAGAAGGAGACACCUGGAGCCCCUCUGUGGGGUUGCCGCAGGGCUCAGGGGGGGCCGAGACGGCGAGAAGGAGCAGCAGGAGGGAGACUGGGGAGGAGGAAGAGUCAGAGGGCCUCCUGCGGCUGCCGGAGAUGACAGACACCUCCAUGGACAGCGUUGGCCAGCCCCUACGUGACGUCAUGGACCGGCUCAACGGUGCUCUCGAUGGGGAGAAGACCUGGGGGCGACCAGCUGGAGAGGAAGAAGAAGAGGAGGGGGCAAAAACCCAGCAGAGUUCCCUCCCCAGACGGCCCUCCUCCACCAGCCUUGAAGCCAACCCGCAGCCCCCGGGGCAGCAGCCCUUUCGAGGGGAUUCGAUGGGUGAGCCGCCUGACCCGGAAGCCAGGCACCCCCCCCUGCUGCGCCCUGCUCUGGCCCCGAGUCCCAACUUCCUGCAGGCCCCCCCGGCUCCUGCAGACUUUUACUGCUUUACCCCCCACAGUCCAGAUGCUGCUGCCCUGCGUAGUGGCCACCAUGACACUGCAGGGCAUGGCCAGUCACAGGCUCUUCUUGGUGGCAAUGAAGUUGAGGCAGAGGCACCGCCAGGACAGGACCCCUCCCUAGAGGAGGAAGAGCAUGAUGAGGAGGAAAAUGAUGAGGCAGUAAUGGUUGAAAAUGGAUUGGCUGCUGGAGAAACUGAAGAGGAGACGGAAGAGGACAGGCUCAGUCCAACGGAAAACUCUCAUCCUGCAGAAUUCAAGGUGGACAACAAUCACCUGCUGCUGCUCAUGAUCCAUGUCUUCAGAGAGAAUGAGGAGCAGCUCUUCAAGAUGGUGAGGAUGAGCACGGGUCACAUGGAGGGGGACUUGCAGCCUCUCUACCUGCUGCUGACUGACUGUUACAUCUACCUGCUGAGGAAAGGUGCAGCGGAAAAGCCCUAUACAGUAGAGGAUGCCAUCUCUUACAAUGAGUUGGACUUUGUCUCUGUGGGCUUGGACCAGCAGACAUUCCUGCUGGUGUGCACCAACAGAAGACGGCAGUUCCUCCUGGACACGGCCGACUCAUCGCUUACUGUCUGUUUUUUGGCAGCCCUGACGUCGGCCAUGAUAAAGGGGUGCAGGGAGCCCCCCUACCCCUCUGUGCUGACCGACGCCACCAUGGAGAAACUGGCCCUCACCAAGUUUGUCUCCCAGGAGUCCCACUGUGAGGUAUCUCAAGUGAUCAUUCGCCUGUAUUCUUUGAUUCACUGGGAGGACCCCAUGGAUGUGACUCUGGCCACCCAGACAGCCCUGGUGGGCGCUGGGGACUCAUCCAGCACUAAAGAGGGCCCCCUACUCUACAGAGCAUGCACCACCUACCUGGGCAAGGAGCUGUGGAAGAGCUGUUACCUCGUACUGAGCAAAGGGGUUCUCUACCAGUAUACAGAGAAGACUGAUGCGACACCACUAAUGUCCAUCACUAUGGGGGAAUGGAUCUGUUCCUAGCGCUUUUAUGGAUCAAGUUGUUUGGACAAUUGCACUGGGUUCAAACGGGCGGGUACUGCGGAGGUUGCCGGCGCUCCAACAGCACAGAGCAGCCUCAUGCCUUCCAGGUGAUCCUGACAGAGCGGCCUCCUCUGGAGCUGAGCGCCGACAAUGAGGGAGACAUGGCCGACUGGAUGCUGGUGCUCUGCCAGUCUGUCUCCAAAGGGGUGAUCCCCCAGGGCGUGGCCCCCACACCGUGUAUUCCUUGUUGCCUGGUGGUGACAGACAGGAAGCUGCUGACAUGCCACCAGGACUGCCAGACUAGCUUCUUCCGCUCGCUGGGCGGAGCUGAUCUCUCUGAUGUCACUGCUGUCAGUCUGGAGGACGACAAAGAAUACUGUGUUGUUGAGUUUGCAGUGGACAGGGCUCAGUUCCUGCCUCCCUGGGUGUUGUACUUCAGCGGAUGUGAGGAGAGAGACCGCCUGCUGGAGGCGCUAGAGAGUGCCUGGAGAGACAUUUUCCAGGUGUGUCUGCCUCGUAGGAGGGUGUCAGAGCCGUCGGUGCAGAAGCAUUGUGGCGAGGCCUUGGCUCUGAUGAGGAGUGCCUGGCAGAGAAGUGACAGCCUUGCCCGGGGACGUGCCCAGAGAGAGCCCUGGUGCUGACAGACUGGUGGAUGGACAGAUAGGACAAAAGGCUUUCACUAACACUCCUAUCUAUUGCUACUCUACACAUCAGGGUCGUAGUCAAUUGCAUUCAAAUGUUAUCAAUUCUGCAAGUGAAUAGAAAAUGUACCAUUAUUUUCUAUGUGGAUUUGUUCAAUUGUCAAAUUUUAUUUCAACUGGGUGACUGAGUUUGAAUGGAAUUCACACCAAACCUGUUACAUAUAAUUAUGACAACAGCCAUAUAGAUAGAGGGAAACGCACCCUCCGUUGUGUCUACAUUAUAAAGAGUAUACGGUAAGUUAAGCAUAUGAGGAUGUGUCUUCAUGGGAUGUUGCGAGACAGACAGCAGUUUGAAUCUCCGUUCACACUCCUGGCCUUCACAAAUAUGUAUGUAGGGCUGUGACAGUCAUGGCAUUUUGGAUGACGGUUAUUGGUCAGGCAAAUGACUGGUCACUGUUUUAAUCGUUUGAGUAGCAAAAUGUUUUUUAUAUAAUUUUUUUUUAAACACUCACUUUCUCCUCUCCUUCGCUCCUUACUGCACGUGCUGCUGCUGCAGAGAGGGGGUCAUUGCCUAGGCAACUAAAGACUGUUGCUAAAACAUCUUGCUUGUUUCAGCAAGGAGCAACAAAGUUUCAUCAUGUUGUAAAGAGUCCAUGUUACCUCUGAAAGGGACUCAACUGCACAAUGCCUGUGGUCCUGUCUUCAGUCAGCUCAUUCAAUGUAAAAAAAUAUAUAUAUAUAUUUUUUUUACUGUUAUUUUAUUUUCAUGAUUGUCUUCAUCCAUAAUCGUCAGUUACACAAUUACACGGUAGUUGUGCCAGCCCUAUAUGUAUGUAUGUAUGUAUGUGUACGUUCUGCUUGACUUUCCUCUUCUCAUUGAGUCGGCCGUCAGGGGAGGAGGUGCACUCGUUAUAGAAUAAGACAUUCACUCACAUAUGAGGUUCUUUUGAACCUUAACCAACACACUACAUGUCUAGUGCGUAUGUAAAACGCGGUAUAGUAUUGAAUGAUAGUAUUGUAUUUUUAUCAAUCCUUACGCAAAUGUACAUUGCCCAUCUCUCCAUGAAUCCAGACCUACAUUGAUUUAGUCUUGUAUAGGUGUGUCUGUUGUCAAAUACUUCAAACAAAACCCUUCUCUCCCAUGCAAAGGUUGUGAUAGUUAUUCUUCAGUCACUUGAAGUGGCAUACACUAUUAGUUACAGCACUCAUCUCUUGCCUUGGUCGGCCAUCUAGGUUUACCAUUGGGUUUUCCACCUUUUAGUUAGGUCGGGUUGGAUGGUCAAAGUUAAUAUUAAAGUAUCAGAGCGGAGAAUGGUCUCAACCUAGCAUGGAUACACUUUUAACAAGAAGGAUGAGAGGAGAGAGUAACUUGCUGUUGAAUGCGAGAUUGCACAUUGCUUUUGGGUUUCAGCCGUGGUGAUUUUAUUUGAGGGUAUUGAUAAGUUCAUUGGGGUUCUGUGCGAAGUUCAUGUUCAGUGCUGCUUUUAAAUAUAAGCACAAAUGGGAGCAAAUAGUUGUUUAUUUGUAACACGACUUGUUAUGUGAGUCGAAUUGUAUGCAAUUUAUAAAGGGGAUAUAUUUGCUUUUAUUUUCCGUGGUUUGUUCUAGUCAUUUGGCACACACCUCUAUCCUUUUGAGGGGAGUGUCUGUCAUUGCAUUGUAUGUGUUGCAAGUGGCCUGGUCAAGAUGUGGGAUAUGUCAAUGUUCUACAACAGGUGGAGGCAUCAGUGCAUCCCUACUUUAUUGCACAACCUGUAAUUGUAUUGCUCUGGAGACUCUGUUGCGCAAUGACAGACCAUUGCUUUUAGUCCAGUAGUUAUAGUACAACCAGUCCAUAUGCAUUAGUAAAUAAAUAAAAAGCAGUUUGACUAGAGAUGACACUACUUUAUUAAUCUGAUUUGUCAUCGCAUUAAUCAGAUUUACCCCUUACAAUGUAUCCCCCACAUAAUUAAAUGCAAAUCCUCACAUUCAUUUGUUUGACAAUGUAGCUAAUUAUUUAUGUAGACAUGUUAUGUGAAAGUAAGAUUUUUGUGUUGCUGUUGACAAGAGGGGAAUUUAUCCAAUGCCAUGGCUAUCCUGAAAUUGCUCAAGGGCAGAGUGAUGCUAAGAUUUUAAAAUGUAUGCCAAACAAAAAAACAGUGAUUGCAAAGUUAAACAAACCAUACAACUCUGCACAAGGACUACUUUGAACUAUUUCCACAGAACAUUUGACAAAAACACAUCUACUUGAACAGUAAAUGUGUUUGUCAAAUUUUCAAUUAACAUUUUUAAAAGUUGUCGUUGUGGUUUGUUUAAUUUUGCAAUCAGUUUUUUGUUCACCAUAGAUUUUUUUAAAGUGAAAAAUCUUGAGUCUCAGGAUCACUCUGUUACUGUGGAAUUUACUUCAAUCAUCAGGAGAAGGUUUCUGGAGGGUUUCAGUUUAAUUGCCUGUUGCUCCUAAUAAUCGUGUCCUUUUUCAUUACCUUCAUUUGAUUGGCGAUAAUGGCCUCAGGCCCUGUUUUGACCAAAUAAAGUACUACUCUUGAAUGUGGCCUUAUACUGCUGCUGGCUUCUAAUCGAACAUGAUUAAAAAUCAGUGAAAUUAAUUUGCUGGGUUGUGAAUACACAAUGUGUGUGUUCCCUGUCCUCCAAUUGCAUUAUAGUAAUAGGCGUAAUUACUAAACAUUCUCUGCUUUGAGCAUUUUAAGUGCCACGUGGUCUUGCCUCUAUUCUACUGUUUCUGUAGGCGUGGGAAGCCGACAUCCCAGAAUUUAGCUUCUCAGGUUAGAAAUGUUACAAAUAAUUUAAAUGUAGUACCCUAGAUCCCAUGCAGAAAAGACCCAACACCUCAAGCCAGAGAAACCAUGUCCUACAUUUUAGUUUCAACUGACUUCCGCUAUUUUAUAUCCCCUUUCUUUUGUUGGUACUUAUCCCUUAGUUUUCUAAGCAGUGGAGUUAGAGAGCUCACUGGAAGUAAGAAUGUUAAAUUAUGUUCUAGAGAAAUGUACAAUUGCGAUACUUAAGUAUUUGAAAGGUUUGUCAAUAUUUGAUUGAGGAAAGGAAAUAUGAAGCAUCUUGGCUUCAUAUCCAGAGUUAAGUGAAGUUUGUCUUUAUGAACAGUAAUUUAAAUGUUGGACAUUGCUGGCCAAUGGUGGAUUACUUCUUUUGAUUGACUACUUGUGAAAAUAAAAUAGUUUUUACGUUUGUUUUUAUAUCUAUAUAUAUAUUCUUUGUAUUGUGUUUAGCUGUCUUUUUUUAUUUGAAAUGUAUGAAACUAAUGGGAUUGCUCUAUUGUAUGAUAACCUGUGAUCAUCACACUAAAACCUGCAUGUAUUUAGUGUUUUUAUAUUGCUAAUAACAAAUGUACAAAAAACCUUGUGAAUAGAACAUGAAUAAAGAAAUUCAAACCA